AUGGCUCAGGACGACCGCUGGCGGCGUGCCUAACACAUGCAAGUCGAGCGAGGAGAUCCUCGGGAUGAUCCUAGCGGCGGACGGGUGAGUAACACGUGGGCAACCUGCCUCAUAGAGAGGAAUAGCCUUCCGAAAGGGAGAUUAAUACCUCAUAACAUUGCAGUUUCGCAUGGAACAGCAAUUAAAGGAGCAAUCCGCUAUGAGAUGGGCCCGCGGCGCAUUAGCUAGUUGGUGAGGUAACGGCUCACCAAGGCGACGAUGCGUAGCCGACCUGAGAGGGUGAUCGGCCACAUUGGGACUGAGACACGGCCCAGACUCCUACGGGAGGCAGCAGUGGGGAAUAUUGCACAAUGGGGGAAACCCUGAUGCAAGCAACGCCGCGUGAGUGAUGACGGCCUUCGGGUUGUAAAGCUCUGUCUUCAGGGACGAUAAUGACGGUACCUGAGGAGGAAGCCACGGCUAGCUACGUGCCAGCCGCCGC
Molecule: ribosomal RNA, 481 nt
Filed under: uncultured bacterium
Lineage: Bacteria
Description: bacterial SSU rRNA
Rfam family: Bacterial small subunit ribosomal RNA
Source: RNAcentral